GGGCCAAACUAAACACGCUUUUAACAUAGCACUAGGAGCUGUCUUUAACCAGACACGAUCAAUCAAGUUUGAAGUUCAUUUCCCUAAGCAAUUAACUUGUAGAAACCAUUAGGAAAAAGUUGGACAAACAAAUCUAAUGGAAUGGGCCCGAGUGGUGAGAUCAGAUAGUUACACACACAUACAUGAUACACCUUCGUUGAUCCUUUUAGAAAAACAACAAGGGACAUGGUUGUGUUCAACCAACAAGAUAUCAAACGUAUUCAUCUACUUCAGUAAUCGUACAUAUCAGCAAACCGUGAAACUUUUUUCUUUAACUUUACUUGUUAUCAAGUUCCAUCCUUUUUUGUCUCACCGACGUGCCAACCAAAACUAUCAAGCCAUUGUCUGUCUGAUCGAUGCUUUCGAAUCUGUGACUUAUCAAAAUAAGACCAAAAAAAAAAAUUAAAUGAAACGGUGACACUAGUCUAAUAAUAGUGACGUACAAUGACAUUCCACAAGCCACACACACGUAGGGCAAUUGAUAGAAAGAGACGCACACGAGUAAAUCCAACG
RNAcentral lists this long non-coding RNA (552 nucleotides) under Capsella grandiflora. RNAcentral's name for it is "long non-coding RNA (CGRA_LNC000109)". The record is from RNAcentral. Lineage: Eukaryota; Viridiplantae; Streptophyta; Magnoliopsida; Brassicales; Brassicaceae.